AUGCAGAUCUCUGUAAAGACCCUCACAGGCAAAACCAUCACCCUUGAGGUCCAGCCGAGUGACACCAGUGAAAAUGUCAAAGCCAAGAUCCACGACAAGGAGGGCAUCCCACCUGACCAGCAGCAUCUGAUAUUUGUGAACAAACAGUUGGAGGAUGGCCGUACUCUUUCAGACUGUAACAUCCAGAAAGAGUCCACCCUGCAGGUGGUGCUUUGCCUCUGAGGUGACAUUAUUGAGCCUUCCCUCUGCCUACUCACCCAGAAAUACAACUGCGACAAGAUGAUCUGCUGCAAUUGUUAUGCUAGUGCACAUCCAGAGGAAAGUCAUAUAAAUUAAGUGUGAUUAUUAUUAACAAUAG
RNAcentral lists this long non-coding RNA (358 nucleotides) under Homo sapiens (human). RNAcentral describes it as "non-protein coding lnc-RPGRIP1-3:1". Lineage: Eukaryota; Metazoa; Chordata; Mammalia; Primates; Hominidae. The record is from RNAcentral.